Triticum aestivum (bread wheat) is the source of this 135-nucleotide non-coding RNA. The record is from Rfam. Lineage: Eukaryota; Viridiplantae; Streptophyta; Magnoliopsida; Poales; Poaceae.
CUAGUACUCCGUCCAUCCCAAAAUUCUUGUCGUAGAUUUCUCUAUAUACGGAUGUAUCUAACACUAAAACUUAACUAGAUACAUCCGUAUUUAGACAAAUCUAAGACAAGAAUUUUGGAACGAAGGAAGUACUUA